RNAcentral lists this transfer RNA (76 nucleotides) under Chloroflexota bacterium. Its description in RNAcentral is "Chloroflexi bacterium (freshwater metagenome) tRNA-Val". It matches the Rfam family "tRNA". Rfam says of the family: Transfer RNA (tRNA) molecules are approximately 80 nucleotides in length. Their secondary structure includes four short double-helical elements and three loops (D, anti-codon, and T loops). Further hydrogen bonds mediate the characteristic L-shaped molecular structure. tRNAs have two regions of fundamental functional importance: the anti-codon, which is responsible for specific mRNA codon recognition, and the 3' end, to which the tRNAs corresponding amino acid is attached (by aminoacyl-tRNA synthetases). tRNAs cope with the degeneracy of the genetic code in two manners: having more than one tRNA (with a specific anti-codon) for a particular amino acid; and 'wobble' base-pairing, i.e. permitting non-standard base-pairing at the 3rd anti-codon position. Lineage: Bacteria; Bacillati; Chloroflexota. The record is from RNAcentral.
GGGCGCUUAGCUCAGCGGUUAGAGCAUCCGCCUUACACGCGGGGGGUCACUGGUUCGAAUCCAGUAGCGCCCACCA